CACCAGCUCUCCGAGUGGUAGGGAUGAUUAUUGGGCUUAAAGCGUCCGUAGCCGGCUUAGCAAGUUUCCUGUUAAACUCAGCGACUCAAUCGUUGGAUCGCGGGAAAUACUACUAGGCUAGGAGGCGGGAGAGGUCAACGGUACUUCUGGGGUAGGGGUGAAAUCCUAUAAUCCCGGGAGGACCACCAGUGGCGAAGGCUGUUGACUAGAACGCGCUCGACGGUGAGGGACGAAAGCUGGGGUAGCAAACCGGAUUAGAUACCCGGGUAGUCCCAGCUGUAAACGAUGCGAGCUAGGUGUUGGGAUGGCUACGGGCCAUUUCAGUGCCGCAGGGAAGCCAUUAAGCUCGCCGCCUGGGGAGUACGGCCGCAAGGCUGAAACUUAAAGGAAUUGGCGGGGAGCACCACAAGGCGUGAAGCUUGCGGUUC
Molecule: ribosomal RNA, 428 nt
Filed under: uncultured archaeon
Lineage: Archaea
Description: bacterial SSU rRNA
Rfam family: Archaeal small subunit ribosomal RNA
Source: RNAcentral